RNAcentral lists this ribosomal RNA (253 nucleotides) under uncultured bacterium. RNAcentral describes it as "partial 16S ribosomal RNA". It matches the Rfam family "Bacterial small subunit ribosomal RNA", at positions 524 to 776 of the family's 1533-position model. The record is from RNAcentral.
GACGAAGGAUGCAAGCGUUGUCCGGAAUUAUUGGGCGUAAAGAGCUCGUAGGCGGUUUGUCGCGUCGAAUGUGAAAACCCGGGGCUCAACCCCGGGCCUGCAUUCGAUACGGGCAGACUAGAGUUCGGUAGGGGAGUCUGGAAUUCCUGGUGUAGCGGUGAAAUGCGCAGAUAUCAGGAGGAACACCGGUGGCGAAGGCGGUUCUCUGGGCAUUACCUGACGCUGAGGAGCGAAAGUGUGGGGAGCGAACAGG